UGACUUUAAAGGGGACUUUGUGACGUUCACAGAGGGAGACAGAAUUGCCAAUAAAUGACUGAUAAAAAUGAGAAAAAAAUCAGAAGAGAAGAAUAUGAUGAAAAAAAAAAGAAGAAAAUCUAGUUAUUUUGGAGCUGGCACCACAAAGAAGGAAAAGGAAAGUGAUGGUGGAUAUAAGAAACGUAAGAAGGAAAGGCAAUGUGGAAUACCUGGGACAUCUCAGAGGAAGGAUUUUGUGACUGAGACAACAAAAUAACUUCAACAUAUAGGAUGUGCAUAAAGAAAAUGUAGAUACAAUUCAAG
This 303-nucleotide long non-coding RNA is filed under the name Macaca nemestrina (pig-tailed macaque). Its description in RNAcentral is "lncRNA (ENSMNEG00000045748.1)". Lineage: Eukaryota; Metazoa; Chordata; Mammalia; Primates; Cercopithecidae. The record is from RNAcentral.